RNAcentral lists this ribosomal RNA (873 nucleotides) under Triticum aestivum (bread wheat). RNAcentral describes it as "partial small subunit ribosomal RNA". Lineage: Eukaryota; Viridiplantae; Streptophyta; Magnoliopsida; Poales; Poaceae. The record is from RNAcentral.
AUGGAGGUUGUGAAGGUCCGUGUUCAAACACAACUUGCCUUUGCAAGAGGUUUAUCUGAUGGGCUCCGUAAGUUUGUGAAGGCUGAAGGAUAUGCUGGGGUUCCUAGCGCCGCCGCCGGCUCCCCCAGCCAGCACGUAGCCGCCGCUGCCGCCGCGGUCGGAGUCCGCAGUCGCCGUCAGCCCCCUACCCCCUUCCCGACCCCUUCCUCCCCCUCCCUGCGCCGCAAGCGGCGACCAAGGCGACGCUGCUCGCCCGUGCCCCUAGCGCCCAUCCUCCCCCACCCCUCCCUGCCGCCGCCCGGGCGGUGUCGGCGGCGCCGGGAUCUCCCUUCCCCACGUGUCCUGGCCUCCCACUGGAGGUGGCCGCCGGUGAGCUGGUCCGACGCGUCGCCCCCGGCCCAGAUUUGGGCCCUUGGGCCCCAUCUGGGUUAUAGGCGGGCCGCUUUGGUAGUGGCCGCCGGUGAGCUGGUCCGACCCGUCGUCCCCGGCCCAGAUCCGGGCCCUUGGGCCCAUCUGGGUUAUAGGCAGGCCGGUUCGGUAGUGGCCGCCGUGGCCGCCGGUGAGCUGGUCCGACACGUCGCCCCCGGCCCAGAUCUGGGCCCUUGGGCCCAUCUGGGUUAUAGGCGGGCCAGCGGGCCGGUUCGGUCCUCCUGCAUCGCGGUGGCGGGGGCUUCACAGGCCCCUCCGAGGCUUGGUCAGACCUGCAGGCCCGCGGGACUGGUAUGCUUCUGCUGCUUCGUCCGGUCGGCUACUGCCUCGGUGGUGGAGGUCGGUCCCUCCCGCGUGUCUACUGUGCUGCUGCUCCUGGUUUCCAGCAAAGGUGCGUCCCUUUUUUUCAAGCAUCGCGUAUUAGCUUCGGUGGGACGGCGUUGA